CUUGAUACCCAUGUGUCCUCUUCCACAACUGCUCAGUCUUACAAAAUCUGUGACCCAUGUACUUCUCCCCAGCAACACUCUGUGCUAAAGAUCACUGGCCUGUUUUCUCCUCCUCACCCUGCUGGGACAGCCUGGCUGCUGGGUUUUACAGACACUGCUCAGGAGGCACUUUGCUAAGGGGCUUUGCUUGUGGGACUUGCUAAGCCAAGGAUGCACAGGAGCUAGAGGGAAACAGGGAAACAAAGUAGAGCAAGAUGCACAUCCUGAGCAGCAGCAGCAGCAGCAGCAGCAGCAGCCCUCUCCAGGAAAGGAAGCCUGGAUGGAUUGUAUUGCACAUGGAUAGACUGAAAUGCUCAGCAGAUGAUUUUGCUUAAAUCUCAAAUGCAACCAUGGGAGCAUCUUCCCAAGAUCCUGAAUUAUGCCUGCUGCUAACCACACUCCAGGAGUUCUUGGCUGAGCACAUCCCUUUCUUACAGAGUUUGCUGGAAUGAAAUAGUGGCUGAUUGGAUGCUGGAAACUACAGCUCUUGUGUGAGCUAAUCCUCGGGAUCUCAGCAGCUCUAAGCAGACAGUGGGGGAAGGUCCCAUGCUUAUGACUCAUGCUACCAUUUUUCUCUCUCCUAUUGUUUUGCAAAUUCUCUGCUUAAUCUAAAAUCCAUUUCAACUAGAAACUUCCAGGCUCAGUGGAAAUUUGAAGAUAAUAUAUUCCAAACAAGUGAUGCUUCAUAAGGGUGUGGAUCUACAACCCUUGAAAUCAAUCUAAAUCUGGGCUGGCACUGCCCUGCCCUUGUCACUGGCCUCUUCUCCUUCCCAUGCUUGCAUGAUCCCACAGAGAGGAGAUCCAGAUGUGACCCAGCUGGAAACCAGGGCAGUGCCACCACGAGGAGCCACAGGGAGUGGGAGUGAUGGAGGACAUGUCACAAGAUGAAGUUGUGGCAAUCCAGAUUUAGACAAGCCAAAGUGGAGGUCUACCACUAAGAGUUAUUAAUCUUCCUGAAUGAGCCAUGUCUUAAAGGAAAUGGGUAUCCUGAGCUUUGGGUUUCAUUUUAAGGUAUUGAUUUAUGUCCCUAAAACAUUUUAAACCUGUACAUUAGCAGAAAAGUUAUCCUACAUAUACUGGUAAUAUAUUCUCUUAAUGGGAUACACAGCAAUGAAAUUUUGUCUCACUAGAUCUUUAAGAGCAGAUUCAAACUUCAAGGAUUAUGAGUUCAGGCAGGAUAAUGCCCUGAUGGCUGGCAGUAACACUUGGAAGCUGCUUUUGAUAAUAGGUAGGAUACCACAGUAGCCACACUCAACUCUAGGAAUCUUUUCUGCUUCAUUGCUUUAGCUUUGUUUAACAGCCCAUUUUUGAGUGGUAAAACAGUAGUAGAAAUGGCAAUAUAUUUAUGAAGACACGCUAAAUAAAAUUGUAUUGCUUUUACAAGGAAAAGCAAUAGAUUAUACCAAAGUUAUAACAAAAACCCUGUGCAUCUGUAAGAACAGUGAGAGAACUGCAAGACAGGAUUCCAUCUGCCUCCCAGGACAACUUUUCAUGCUGGGUACCCAUGGCAUGAGGCCAAACACACCUUCAGAAACAAAUGCACUAAGUGUCAGAUAUUAAAAUAUCACUUUUCAAUGCAAAGCAUUUCUAUUGGCUUACCACCCUCUUCCAGACAGGGAAAUUCCCACUAAAUCAUCAAUAAUACAUCCAGGCAGCCAUCAGUCCACCUGCUAAUGAGCAGUUCUAGCACACAGCACCUAUCCAGAGAAAUCAGGCCUGGAAGAUGAGAGCAUAGCCCUUAAUAAUUUACAAGACUCAUUAACCUUAUCCCAUAAGACAAACAAAAAGAAUGUGGUAUCUACUCAGAUUUCCAGACCAAACCAAGAUACAGUGUUUCAGAGGCCAUUAGGAUGUAUCAGUCAAUAAACACUCUCCAAAUGUUCUUCUGUGGAAUACCCUGGCAGACAAAGUACCAUCCAUCUCUAAAAGCCUGUAUUAUUAGGGACACAACAUCAGGAACCUUAAGAAACUUGCACUGCUGAAAAUGAGAUUGAAAAGGUUUGAAAAUUAUUCAAUAUGCCAAAUGCUAAACAAUCUUUCGAAUUUGCUAUUUUAAGUAGACAAAACCAGUCUGGUUCUGCAUAGAAUAAAUACCAGCCCUCUACAAAUGUCAAGUGUGCCCAGGGACAGAACUCACAUCCAACAUCAAAUACUCACUUUGGCAGCACCACACAGAACCAGGAGUGGGGGAAAAGACAGCCCAGAGUCUUGUCCUGGGACUAAACACUGCCCUGGCCAAGCAGGGCAUCCCUAUUCCCACAGACAUUCCUUACACAGGGAUUGGUACAAGUAUCUGGGAAGGGAUUAUGAUGAUGCAGUUUGGGCUGCAGUUUAUGAAAACCGACAAAAACAACCCUAACACAAAUUGCUUGGUUUUCGUGGUGUCUCCUGCUACAAACACACACCUUACUGCUAUAAAAUUGUUUUUGUCUCUGCACAAACACCCAGCAGCCAUGAGGGUUUGCCUCCAGAGGGAAGCUCUCCACUUACAUCUCCUCUUCUAUCAGAUCCCACACUCAGUUACCAUAUUCCUGUGCCUGCUUUGAAGUCCUCCUAAAGGAGAUAAUCUAAAUGCUGGAGGAGCUGGCUGGAACACCCAGUCAUGCUCUGUGGGAAAGGAGGAGGCCCUGUGUUCUUCCCUGACCCUGCUAAGCAGGUGUAGGAACAGGAGCUGGGAAGCUUUAGGUGCUCCACCUUGUUUCUGACUCCAUUUACAGGGAUCAUGGGGUUUUUUUCCAGGGAUUUUUUCCAGACAUUGUGUAUGAGCUGCUGUACCUUCCCUUCCCUCUCCACAUGCCCAGUGAACUCUCCCUUCCAGCUACAAAAUCAACAUGCAGAACUGCUCCAUGCUAUAGGCUAAAAGCACUUAAAACCCAGAUGUGCUUCUUAGAGCCCAUCCUAUCCCAUUCCUUCAAAAGCCAGGACACAAAGCCCCAUUUUACUGUCGAUCAUUCUGAAAUGGCAGCAAUUAAGGAACAUGCUAUUUCCCUAAUUACCAUUUCCUUUUUAGCAAAGCCCCUUUACUCACAGCAGCUUCUAUGGCAAGCAGUGAAGCAGAGCCCUGGGCUGCCUUGCCAAAGCCAAGCGUGUGUGACACUUGUUCUUUCCUAAAGCUCUGCCUUUCCACACCAACAGCCACCCCAGGGUGGGCCACAGCACAGGGACUGUUCAACUGCUUGGUGACAUUUUGGGACUACAAGGAGAAAAAACAGCACUUAAAAUAGAACAGAAGAACCAGGAAUUAAUAGAGACAAGGAAUAACAAAGUAACUAUAUAUUCCAUAAAGAGUGCAGAUAGAAAUUAUCAAAAGAAUAAUGGUUAUUUUCCUGUAAAGAGAGUUUUUACUGAGGUUUCAUAGUGCUUAUUCUUUUGAAACAGGACACAAAGAUGAAGGAAAAGGUGGUAUCUUUUCAAACUUUCUUUCACAAUUAGAGUAUAUCCUUAAUGCUUAAACCUAAUUAAACUCAGAACAACUAAUUCCAGGUUAGUAAAAAAAACCCAUCUUUGACAAAAGGUGAUCUGAUAGGGCAAAAUUAUUAUUUCAGUGCAUGAUCUGGGACAUGCUGAAAAUGAAACAUUAGCAGCAUAUGUUCAUGGAAGGAAAAUAAAAAGAUGGCAUAUUAACAAAUACAGUUUUGCCUCCUGGCUUUCAUGAAGUCACAUCAAGUUCAUUAUAUAUAAAAACUUAAAUACAUCAAAAUAAAAAUUUGUAUGUAUCAACUCAUCAGACCGACACAACAAUGCCUCAGCCUAUAAAUAACACUCCCUGACCCAGGCAGUUGUGGCUAAAUAAACAUUAUUCCUGUUCCCAAAGGAAAAGCUCCAGCUCUGGAUGAUCUGCAGGGUGACUGGGGCCAGUCUCCUGACAGAAUUCCUGAGUGCUCACUGGCAGCACUCACCCUGCCACACCCCACCAGGUGAGCACAGAGUGAGGGUGAACAGGGGGUGAAGUACAAAUACUGCAAGAAAAGCAAGAACUGCCAGAAUAACACUGCUGUUGAGAACAGGAAGACAUCUCUAAGGUUACUUUUAAUCAAAAUUAAAACCAGUAACUGGUGUAAUUUAUCUGGACACAUGUUCAGUGGUGCCAUAUUUCAGUCCCAACAUACCUUUCUUCCACAGAAAAGUGCUUUUCUAAUAUCCAGAAAGACCAUUCUGUCUCCAAAGAGACCAUUAGGAUCAGUUUUCCAUUCUAAACAGAAAUUCCUAUCUUUUCAAACAGCUCCAGCUCCUCCA
Molecule: long non-coding RNA, 4275 nt
Organism: Serinus canaria (Common canary)
Lineage: Eukaryota; Metazoa; Chordata; Aves; Passeriformes; Fringillidae
Exons: 4
Source: RefSeq, a predicted model, not a curated record